CGGAGGUGCAAGCGUUAAUCGGAAUUACUGGGCGUAAAGCGCACGCAGGCGGUCUGUUAAGUCAGAUGUGAAUCCCGGGCUUAACCUGGGAACUGCAUUUGAACUGGCAGGCUUGAGUCUGUAGAGGGUAGAAUUCCAGGUGUAGCGGUGAAAUGCGUAGAGAUCUGGAGGAAUACCGGUGGCGAAGGCGGCCCCUGGACAAAGCUGACGCUCAGGUGCGAAAGCGUGGGAGCAAACAGGAUU
RNAcentral lists this ribosomal RNA (243 nucleotides) under uncultured bacterium. Its description in RNAcentral is "partial 16S ribosomal RNA". It matches the Rfam family "Bacterial small subunit ribosomal RNA", at positions 527 to 779 of the family's 1533-position model. The record is from RNAcentral.